UACGUAGGGGGCUAGCGUUGUCCGGAAUCAUUGGGCGUAAAGAGCGUGUAGGCGGUCCGGUAAGUCCGCUGUGAAAGUCGGGGGCUCAACCCUUGAAUGCCGGUGGAUACUGCAGGGCUAGAGUCCGGAAGAGGCGAGUGGAAUUCCUGGUGUAGCGGUGAAAUGCGCAGAUAUCAGGAGGAACACCGAUGGCGAAGGCAGCUCGCUGGGACGGUACUGACGCUGAGGCGCGAAAGCGUGGGGAGCAAACAGG
Molecule: ribosomal RNA, 253 nt
Filed under: uncultured bacterium
Lineage: Bacteria
Description: partial 16S ribosomal RNA
Rfam family: Bacterial small subunit ribosomal RNA
Source: RNAcentral